CGGGACACGUGGUAUCCUGUCUGAAUAUGGGGGGACCAUCCUCCAAGGCUAAAUACUCCUGACUGACCGAUAGUGAACCAGUACCGUGAGGGAAAGGCGAAAAGAACCCCGGCGAGGGGAGUGAAAAAGAACCUGAAACCGUGUACGUACAAGCAGUGGGAGCACGCUUAGGCGUGUGACUGCGUACCUUUUGUAUAAUGGGUCAGCGACUUAUAUUCUGUAGCAAGGUUAACCGAAUAGGGGAGCCGAAGGGAAACCGAGUCUUAACUGGGCGUUAAGUUGCAGGGUAUAGACCCGAAACCCGGUGAUCUAGCCAUGGGCAGGUUGAAGGUUGGGUAACACUAACUGGAGGACCGAACCGACUAAUGUUGAAAAAUUAGCGGAUGACUUGUGGCUGGGGGUGAAAGGCCAAUCAAACCGGGAGAUAGCUGGUUCUCCCCGAAAGCUAUUUAGGUAGCGCCUCGUGAAUUCAUCUCCGGGGGUAGAGCACUGUUUCGGCAAGGGGGUCAUCCCGACUUACCAACCCGAUGCAAACUGCGAAUACCGGAGAAUGUUAUCACGGGAGACACACGGCGGGUGCUAACGUCCGUCGUGAAGAGGGAAACAACCCAGACCGCCAGCUAAGGUCCCAAAGUCAUGGUUAAGUGGGAAACGAUGUGGGAAGGCCCAGACAGCCAGGAUGUUGGCUUAGAAGCAGCCAUCAUUUAAAGAAAGCGUAAUAGCUCACUGGUCGAGUCGGCCUGCGCGGAAGAUGUAACGGGGCUAAACCAUGCACCGAAGCUGCGGCAGCGACGCUGAUGCGUUGUUGGGUAGGGGAGCGUUCUGUAAGCCUGCGAAGGUGUGCUGUGAGGCAUGCUGGAGGUAUCAGAAGUGCGAAUGCUGACAUAAGUAACGAUAAAGCGGGUGAAAAGCCCGCUCGCCGGAAGACCAAGGGUUCCUGUCCAACGUUAAUCGGGGCAGGGUGAGUCGACCCCUAAGGCGAGGCCGAAAGGCGUAGUCGAUGGGAAACAGGUUAAUAUUCCUGUACUUGGUGUUACUGCGAAGGGGGGACGGAGAAGGCUAUGUUGGCCGGGCGACGGUUGUCCCGGUUUAAGCGUGUAGGCUGGU
Molecule: ribosomal RNA, 1107 nt
Filed under: Escherichia coli
Lineage: Bacteria; Pseudomonadati; Pseudomonadota; Gammaproteobacteria; Enterobacterales; Enterobacteriaceae
Description: partial 23S ribosomal RNA
Rfam family: Bacterial large subunit ribosomal RNA
Source: RNAcentral